Molecule: non-coding RNA, 287 nt
Organism: Schizosaccharomyces pombe (fission yeast)
Lineage: Eukaryota; Fungi; Ascomycota; Schizosaccharomycetes; Schizosaccharomycetales; Schizosaccharomycetaceae
Source: the annotation of a GenBank genome assembly
AAAACAUUUAAAGCAAUUAAAUUCGCUUUCUCUUUUAUUGCCAACUGCUUUCAAGGUAACAGCUGAAACGUUUGUUCGUUAAAUUUGGUCAAACCUUUUGCAAAGCUUGAAAUCGCUUCUUCCUUUGUUCUUCACAUGUUGUCUCAUCGUAACUUGGCCCCUGUUCGGUAUGGUUUUCUUAUUAACUUUACUGGCACCGUCGUGCCAUGAAGGACAAGUAGCUGCAUAUAGAUUGUAGUAAGUAUAGCUUGAGUUAAAGACCUUUUAAGAUAAGAUACACAUAUAUA